Eubalaena glacialis (North Atlantic right whale) is the source of this 513-nucleotide long non-coding RNA. RefSeq lists it as uncharacterized. Lineage: Eukaryota; Metazoa; Chordata; Mammalia; Artiodactyla; Balaenidae. The record is from RefSeq and is a predicted model, not a curated record. The transcript has 2 exons.
GCUGGGAGCAGUUGUGUCUCCUCAGGCACCGCCGAGGCUUCGGCCGGGACGCCCGGCUCAGCGUCUCUGCUGACAGGAACUCAGUCUCCUUAGGACUCGCUGGGCUUUCGGUUUCAGGACGACGCAGGGCUGUGUCCACGCUGACGGAAGCUGGGUUUCCUGAGGACCCAGGCGACGCCGGGAGGAAAGGGGGACACGGGUUUGAGCCCUGGGCCGGGAGGAUCCCACGUGCUGCGGAGCAACUAAGCCUGUGCGCCACAACUACUGAGCCUGCGCUCUAGAGCCCGCGUGCCACAACUGCUGAGCCCGCGCGUCACAACUACUGAAGCCCGCGUGCCUAGAGCCCGUGCUCCGCAACAAGCGAAGCCACCGCAAUGAGAAGCCCACGCACCGCAACAAAGAGUAGCCCUCACUCGCCGCAACUAGAGAAAGCCUGUGCACAGCAACGAAGACCCAUCGUAGCCAAUAAAUAAAUAAAUAAAUAAAUAAAAUAAAAUUUUAUGUUCACACAAA